RNAcentral lists this signal recognition particle RNA (303 nucleotides) under Vombatus ursinus (common wombat). RNAcentral's name for it is "Metazoan signal recognition particle RNA (ENSVURG00010007033.1)". It matches the Rfam family "Metazoan signal recognition particle RNA". From Rfam's summary of the family: The signal recognition particle (SRP) is a universally conserved ribonucleoprotein. It is involved in the co-translational targeting of proteins to membranes. Lineage: Eukaryota; Metazoa; Chordata; Mammalia; Diprotodontia; Vombatidae. The record is from Rfam by way of RNAcentral.
GCUGGACAUGGCAGCGCAAGCCUAUAAGCCCAGCUACAAGAGAGGUUGAGGCUGUGGUGGGUCUCUCAAGCACAGGGCUUGAACUGUAGAGGCCUAUGCUGAUAGGGUAUCUGCAUUAAUUUUUGCAUCAAUAUAGUGAACCCACAGGAAUGAAGGACCACUGGGUUGCUUAAGAAGGGGCAACCCUGUCCAGGUCAAAAAUGAAGAAGGUCGAAGUUCCAAAGUUAAUCAGUAGUGGGGUCAGCCUAUGAGCAGUCCCUGAACUUCCAUAUGUCUAGCCUGAGUGAGAUGAAGAGACUCAUU